RNAcentral lists this ribosomal RNA (440 nucleotides) under uncultured bacterium. RNAcentral describes it as "partial 16S ribosomal RNA". It matches the Rfam family "Bacterial small subunit ribosomal RNA", at positions 338 to 795 of the family's 1533-position model. The record is from RNAcentral.
CCUACGGGAGGCAGCAGUGGGGGAUAUUGCACAAUGGGGGAAACCCUGAUGCAGCGACGCCGCGUGUAGGAAGACGGUCCUCUGCAUUGUAAACCACUGUCCCCAGGGACGAAAAUGACGGUACAUGGGGAGGAAGCUCCGACUAACUACGUGCGAGCAGCCUCGGUAAUACGUAGGAGGCGAGCGUUGUCCGGAAUUACUGGGUGUAAAGGGAGCGUAGGCGGGGAUGCAAGUUGGGUGUAAAAACUACCGGCUCAACUGGUAGUCGCACUCAAAACUGCAGCUCUUGAGUGAAGUAGAGGCAGGCGGAAUGCGUAGUGUAGCGGUGAAAUGCGUAGAUAUUAGGAGGAACACCAGUGGCGAAGGCGGCCUGCUGGGCUUUUACUGACGCUGAGGCUCGAAAGUGUGGGGAGCAAACAGGAUUAGAUACCCGAGUAGUC